This is a small nucleolar RNA of Bison bison bison, 125 nucleotides long. NCBI's taxonomy places the organism in Eukaryota, Metazoa, Chordata, Mammalia, Artiodactyla, Bovidae. The record is from Ensembl.
UUUACAAAAUAAUAGCCAUUAUAGUCUUUCAGUGAUAUGAGCGGUUAUACACAUGGGAUAAAAUAAUACUGGGCCAUUGUAAAUGGAGGUGAAGUCACCAUUUCAUCUCCAUGGUCUAGACACUG